Molecule: ribosomal RNA, 480 nt
Filed under: Laccophilus poecilus
Lineage: Eukaryota; Metazoa; Arthropoda; Insecta; Coleoptera; Dytiscidae
Description: partial 16S ribosomal RNA
Rfam family: Bacterial large subunit ribosomal RNA (bases 357-480)
Source: RNAcentral
ACCUGCCCAAUGAAUAAUUUUAAUGGCCGCAGUAUUUUGACUGUGCAAAGGUAGCAUAAUCAUUAGUUUUUUAAUUAAAAGCUUGUAUGAAUGGUUGGACGAGAAAAAAUCUGUCUUUAUUAAUAAAAUUGAAUUUAAUUUUUUAGUUAAAAAGCUAAAAUUAAAUUAAAAGACGAGAAGACCCUAUAGAUCUUUAUAAUAAUUUAAAUAAAUUUUAUUUAGAUUUAUAUAUUUAUUUAUUUAUUUUAUUAUUUUAUUGGGGUAAUAGAAAGAUUAAUUAAAUUCUUUUUUAAAAAGUAUAUUUUAUAAUAAUUUUAAGAUCCAUUAAUAAUGAAAAAUGAUUAAGUUACCUUAGGGAUAACAGCGUAAUUUUUUUAGAGAGUUCAUAUUGAUAAAAAAGUUUGCGACCUCGAUGUUGGAUUAAAAUAAAUUUUAGGUGCAGAAGCUUAAAAUUUUGGUCUGUUCGACCAUUAAAUUUUU